GCACCUCCACUGAACUUCUGAUGACUAGAUCUUUUCCCCUUACAGUUGGAUCCUGCCACGUUGUCCCGACUCCUGAGCAGCGGCCGAGAGAGAUGCUAAGGGAAAGGACUUCCAGAUACUUCCUAACGGCCUAGAGAGCGCCUGACAGAGAGGAGUUCCAGGUCUGUAACAGAGAGUGAGGCCGUGAGGGAGGGAAUCCAGAAGGUUGAGAGAGGGAGAUGGGGGGCGGCGUGUGCUUGAGAC
This 243-nucleotide unclassified non-coding RNA is filed under the name Hevea brasiliensis (rubber tree). The record is from RNAcentral. Lineage: Eukaryota; Viridiplantae; Streptophyta; Magnoliopsida; Malpighiales; Euphorbiaceae.